CCCUUAGAUGUUCUGGGCUGCACGCGCGCUACACUGCUGCAAUUAACGGGUUUUCUGUGCCGAAAGGCUUGGGGAAUCCUUUGAAUAUGCGGCGUGAUGGGGAUAGAAUAUUGUAAUUACAGUAUUACUCUUCAACGAGGAAUUCCUAGUAAGCGCGGGUCAGCAGCCCGCGCUGAUUACGUCCCUGCCCUUUGUACACACCGCCCGUCGCUCCUACCGAGUGGGUGAUCCGGUGAACUAUUCGGACUCCGGUUAUUCCAGCAUUUGGUUUUGCUGGGGAAAGUUUCGUGAACCUUAUCACUUGGAGGAAGGAGAAGUCGUAACA
RNAcentral lists this ribosomal RNA (325 nucleotides) under uncultured eukaryote. RNAcentral describes it as "partial 18S ribosomal RNA". It matches the Rfam family "Eukaryotic small subunit ribosomal RNA", at positions 1470 to 1796 of the family's 1831-position model. The record is from RNAcentral.